GAGGAAAGUCCGGGCUCUAUUUAUAAGUAACUUGUUGUAUAGUAUACAGUGUAGGAAACUACGAGGAGAGUGCCACAGAAAUAUACCGCCUUAAAUUUAAGGUAAGGGUGCAAUGGUUCGUUAAGAGCGCACCAGAAAUAUUGUCAAAAUAUUUGCUAGGUAAACCCCAUUUUAGAGCAAAGUAAUUUAGUUGUAUAUAUAAAUGUAGAUUUAUAAGCUUAACUUAUACAAUUCUUUAGCUGAAGUAUUUUUGUAUACUGCAUGAAGUGAAAUUUUCACUGUAGAUUAAUAAUUACCCUUUUUAUAUAGUUAAUUAAUAAUGUUAAAUAUUUAAAUUAAGAACAAAACCCGGCUUAU
RNAcentral lists this RNase P RNA (357 nucleotides) under Laurenciella marilzae. Its description in RNAcentral is "rnpB". The stretch from base 1 to 298 matches the Rfam family "Bacterial RNase P class A", at positions 43 to 321 of the family's 367-position model. Rfam says of the family: Ribonuclease P (RNase P) is a ubiquitous endoribonuclease, found in archaea, bacteria and eukarya as well as chloroplasts and mitochondria. Its best characterised activity is the generation of mature 5'-ends of tRNAs by cleaving the 5'-leader elements of precursor-tRNAs. The record is from RNAcentral. Lineage: Eukaryota; Rhodophyta; Florideophyceae; Ceramiales; Rhodomelaceae.